GACCUCGGAUCAGGUAGGGAUACCCGCUGAACUUAAGCAUAUCAAUAAGCGGAGGAAAAGAAACCAACAGGGAUUGCCCUAGUAACGGCGAGUGAAGCGGCAACAGCUCAAAUUUGAAAUCUGGCUCUCUUUGGGGGUCCGAGUUGUAAUUUGCAGAGGAUGCUUUGGCAUUGGCGGCGGUCUAAGUUCCUUGGAACAGGACAUCGCAGAGGGUGAGAAUCCCGUACGUGGGCGCCUGCCUUUGCCGUGUAAAGCUCCUUCGACGAGUCGAGUUGUUUGGGAAUGCAGCUCUAAAUGGGAGGUAAAUUUCUUCUAAAGCUAAAUACCGGCCAGAGACCGAUAGCGCACAAGUAGAGUGAUCGAAAGAUGAAAAGUACUUUGGAAAGAGAGUCAAAAAGCACGUGAAAUUGUUGAAAGGGAAGCGCUUGCAGCCAGACUUGCCCGCAGUUGCUCACCUAGGCUUUGGCCUGGGGCACUCUUCUGCGGGCAGGCCAGCAUCAGUUUGGGCGGUCGGACAAAGGCCUCUGUCAAGUAUCUCCCUUCGGGGUGACCUUAUAGGGGAGGCGUAAUGCGACCAGCCCGGACUGAGGUCCGCGCAUCUGCUAGGAUGCUGGCGUAAUGGCUGUAAGCGGCCCGUCUUGAA
Molecule: ribosomal RNA, 643 nt
Filed under: Microsphaeropsis arundinis
Lineage: Eukaryota; Fungi; Ascomycota; Dothideomycetes; Pleosporales; Didymellaceae
Description: eukaryotic LSU rRNA
Rfam family: Eukaryotic large subunit ribosomal RNA
Source: RNAcentral